RNAcentral lists this small RNA (746 nucleotides) under Pongo abelii (Sumatran orangutan). RNAcentral describes it as "processed transcript". The record is from RNAcentral. Lineage: Eukaryota; Metazoa; Chordata; Mammalia; Primates; Hominidae.
GCACAGGGACAGUGAGAGACAGGCCAUUGAAGUCUUCAUCAGGAGUUCCUUCAACGAUGUGGACCAUCUAUUUCAAAAGGAGUUAGGGGCCCAGCUAGAAAAAAAGCGGGAUGACUUUUGUAAACAGAAUCAGGAAGCAUCAUCAGAUCGUUGCUCAGGUUUACUUCAGGUCAUUUUCAGUCCCCUAGAAGAAGAAGUGAAGGCGGGAAUUUAUUCGAAACCAGGGGGCUAUCGUCUCUUUGUUCAGAAACUACAAGACCUGAAGAAAAAGUACUAUGAGGAACCAAGGAAGGGGAUACAGGUAACCAAGAUUUAUCUGUCAAUUAUGGAAAGCUGCUGACCUGCCUCCUACAAACACCAAGGUGACCAAGCCUCGUUGCACAGAUGUGCUUUUUUGUUUGCAUAACAUUCAUGCUUUUAUUCAAUAACAUAUGCAAACAGGCUGUUAUACCAGAUAUGUCCUAGGUGCUCAUCAAAGAGAGUGCAGUCAAUUAACUAUUAAGUUAUAAAUUCAAUUAGCAGAUGAAGCACAAAGUUAUUAUUGUCAUCAUUACAGCUGGGCUUUUCCUGUUGCAAGAGACAGGAACCUAAUGAUGGCUGCUUAAACAAAAAUGUAAUUCAUUGAUUUAGGCUGCAAACUGGCUUUACAGGACAGGUGGGUCUAAGGUUUCAAGUAACAUCAUGAACUGUCUCUCUGCCCAGUGUUCCCCCAUCCCCACAGUUUUCUCCCUCCCACCCUCCCUCUA